ACAUACGGCCAUACCUGUGAGACAAUACCGGAUCCCGUCCGCUCUCCGUUAGUCAAGCUCGCAAGGGGCAGAUUAGUAGUUGGGUCGGUGACGACCAGCGAACACCGGCUGCUGUAUGUU
This 120-nucleotide ribosomal RNA is filed under the name Hirsutella minnesotensis 3608. The record is from RNAcentral. Lineage: Eukaryota; Fungi; Ascomycota; Sordariomycetes; Hypocreales; Ophiocordycipitaceae.